CCCUUAGAUGCCCUGGGCUGCACGCGCGCUACACUGACACAUUCAACGAGUAUUUCCUUUUCCGAGGGGAUUGGGUAAUCUUCUGAAAGUGUGUCGUGAUGGGGAUAGAUUAUUGCAAUUAUUAAUCUUCAACGAGGAAUUCCUAGUAAGUGCAAGUCAUCAGCUUGCGCUGAUUACGUCCCUGCCCUUUGUACACACCGCCCGUCGCUCCUACCGAUUGAAUGUUCCGGUGAGCUCUUCGGACUGCGCGGUCUGCAGUUUCUGCGUUCCGUGCGGAAAGUUGCGCAAACCUUAACAUUUAGAGGAAGGAGAAGUCGUAACA
This 322-nucleotide ribosomal RNA is filed under the name uncultured eukaryote. RNAcentral describes it as "partial 18S ribosomal RNA". It matches the Rfam family "Eukaryotic small subunit ribosomal RNA", at positions 1470 to 1796 of the family's 1831-position model. The record is from RNAcentral.